RNAcentral lists this ribosomal RNA (498 nucleotides) under uncultured bacterium. Its description in RNAcentral is "partial 16S ribosomal RNA". It matches the Rfam family "Bacterial small subunit ribosomal RNA", at positions 899 to 1397 of the family's 1533-position model. The record is from RNAcentral.
ACUCAAAUGAAUUGACGGGGGCCCGCACAAGCGGAGGAACAUGUGGUUUAAUUCGAUGAUACGCGAGGAACCUUACCCAGGCUAGAACGCAACGGGAAUAUAUUGGAAACAGUAUAGCUCUUCGGAGCCGGUUGCGAGGUGCUGCAUGGUUGUCGUCAGCUCGUGCCGUGAGGUGUCGGCUUAAGUGCCAUAACGAGCGCAACCCUUAUUGUUAGUUGCCAGCGGGUCAAGCCGGGGACUCUAGCAAAACUGCCAGCGUAAGCUGCGAGGAAGGUGGGGAUGACGUCAAAUCAGCACGGCCCUUACGUCUGGGGCUACACACGUGUUACAAUGGUAGAUACAGAGGGCAGCUACUUCGCGAGAAGAUGCUAAUCUCGAAAGUCUAUCUUAGUUCGGAUUGGAGUCUGCAACUCGACUCCAUGAAGCUGGAUUCGCUAGUAAUCGCAUAUCAGCCAUGAUGCGGUGAAUACGUUCCCGGGCCUUGUACACACCGCCCGU